CUGCGGUGAUGCGUCUCUUAGGACACCUUUGGAUUUUACUAUGAAAAUGAAACUGUUCUGAGCGGU
This is a small nucleolar RNA of Vulpes vulpes (red fox), 66 nucleotides long. Its record names the gene SNORD58. It matches the Rfam family "Small nucleolar RNA SNORD58". From Rfam's summary of the family: snoRNA U58 is found in introns 1, 3 and 6 of the ribosomal protein RPL17 gene in humans. U58 is a member of the C/D class of snoRNA which contain C (UGAUGA) and D (CUGA) box motifs. The record is from Ensembl. Lineage: Eukaryota; Metazoa; Chordata; Mammalia; Carnivora; Canidae.